RNAcentral lists this small RNA (56 nucleotides) under Sinorhizobium meliloti 2011. RNAcentral's name for it is "putative ncRNA". Lineage: Bacteria; Pseudomonadati; Pseudomonadota; Alphaproteobacteria; Hyphomicrobiales; Rhizobiaceae. The record is from RNAcentral.
AGGCAAGAUCGGCCGAGAUGAACACAUCGGCGGGCGCGCCCUGCUCGAUCUGUUUC